UACAGAUGAUGUCGGAUCCAAUUCGGAA
RNAcentral lists this non-coding RNA (28 nucleotides) under Bombyx mori (domestic silkworm). Lineage: Eukaryota; Metazoa; Arthropoda; Insecta; Lepidoptera; Bombycidae. The record is from RNAcentral.